This 327-nucleotide ribosomal RNA is filed under the name uncultured eukaryote. Its description in RNAcentral is "partial 18S ribosomal RNA". It matches the Rfam family "Eukaryotic small subunit ribosomal RNA", at positions 1470 to 1796 of the family's 1831-position model. The record is from RNAcentral.
CCCUUAGAUGUUCUGGGCCGCACGCGCGCUACACUGAUGCAUUCAACGAGCCUAUCCUUGACCGACAGGUCCGGGUAAUCUUUGAAUCUGCAUCGUGACGGGGAUAGAUUAUUGCAAUUAUUAAUCUUCAACGAGGAAUGCCUAGUAGGCGCAAGUCAUCAGCUUGCGUCGAUUACGUCCCUGCCCUUUGUACACACCGCCCGUCGCUGCCCGGAACUGAGCCGUUUCGAGAAGACUGGGGACUGCGAACUUUGGGCUGGAAAACAGCUUUUUGUUUGUGGAAACCACUUUAAUCGCAGCGGCUUGAACCGGGCAAAAGUCGUAACA